GGCCUGGUAGCUCAGUUGGCUAGAGCGCUGGCUUUACUAAAGCCUUCCCCUUUCUGGCGUGGUUUCGAAUCCGACCGAGGCCG
This 83-nucleotide transfer RNA is filed under the name Schistocephalus solidus. It matches the Rfam family "tRNA". Rfam says of the family: Transfer RNA (tRNA) molecules are approximately 80 nucleotides in length. Their secondary structure includes four short double-helical elements and three loops (D, anti-codon, and T loops). The record is from Rfam by way of RNAcentral. Lineage: Eukaryota; Metazoa; Platyhelminthes; Cestoda; Diphyllobothriidea; Diphyllobothriidae.